GUUAGUAUAGUAUAAAAAAUUACACCUAACUUCCAAUUAGAAAAUCUAAGCAAUUUAGUACUAAUA
This 66-nucleotide transfer RNA is filed under the name Metopsia clypeata. Its description in RNAcentral is "tRNA-Gly". Lineage: Eukaryota; Metazoa; Arthropoda; Insecta; Coleoptera; Staphylinidae. The record is from RNAcentral.